AUGACAUGCAGCAUUUUUUCCUUCUCACCUAACGAUAAACAUUUGCGUUUUGAUCCAGAAAUGUCUACAGCCCAGUCAGCUGCCCGUGAUUUGCAUCACGUUCAUGCGCUCGAGUUUGGAGACGACCAGAAGGCGCCAAAGCGUAUCUUUAGUUUGCAGGUGUACAAUGAAAUUAAACUGGACGUGGAUGCAGGUCAUGAAUUCAUAUCAGCAAGAUAUUGGGUACAUGCCGCGUGGUCACAGGGUUCAGCAGAGGAAACCAAAGGAAGGCGGGAGCUGCUUGUCUGGGGAAGAGAGAAUUCCUGUACGGCAGAUAUUAAUUCCUGUAUAUGAUUCCUGUAUGUCUCAGUUGGUAGAGCAUGGCGCUUGCACUGCCACGGUUUUGGGUUUGAUUCCCAGGGCCACCAAUAUGUAAAAUGUAUGCACACAUGCACUGUGUAGGCAUAUACAGUAUAAUGCAUAUUAUUAUAUAUUCAUUCCAAUGACAGCUUGAUAGACUCCAGACCAAAGAGAACAGACAGUAGAUUUGCACUUGGAACUUUUACCUUGGCUUUAGAAUGGCUUUCGAAGCGCUGUACAUCUUCAACAGUUCAGAUUAGAAUGAGAUUGAACAAUGGCCAUUAUUUCUGGUAUUCUGCACACCAUAUGUUUUUACUAUCAUGAGAUGACUUUAGACUCCGAGUCAGGGGUGUCAGAUGUAACCACAAGUUCCUGAGUGCGAGUGACUCUAGGUAUGCAGUAGGGGCUCCUGAGUGGCGCAGCAGUCCAAGGCACUGCAUCUCAGUGCAAGAGGUGUCAGGUGAGGUGAAUCCAGGCUGAAUCACAUCUGGCUGUGAUUGGGAGUCCCAUAGGGUGGUGCACAAUUGGCCGGGGUAGGCUGUUAUUGUAAAUAAGAAUUAGUUCUUAACUGACUUGCCUAGUUAAAUAACAUUAAAAAAAUGCAUUACCAAUUUGGUGUCUCACCAGAAAAUGCUUAGUAAUUGGAAUGGAAAGCCCCUACUGUAUAAGGCCUUUAUAUAACUGGAGUUAUAUAUCACUGGAGUUUCUUGGAAUGUGAAAUCGCUCCUUCUUUACAGUAAUGGUUCCAGCAGCAGUCUAAAUCUAUGUGGUAAUUUUAUGUAUAUGGUUGCCAUGUACCUCAAUGAGGGUACAGCUUGGUGUUUGACAGAGUAUAUUACUUGCCACUCUGGUGUCGUUUGAUACCUCCUGGUGACUGCACCUCCUGCAUGUCCUCAAAUGACAUGCAUAGGAUACUAGGCCCUCUUAAGGCCAGGAAACUCUGUACAUAAGAACGAGAGAGGGCAGCAUCAGGCAGACAAGCAGCCUGCCCGCCUCAAUGCCAGCUGUGUUCUUUCUCAUACUUACACCCUUCACACCUCACCCUAUGUGACUCCCCGGCCUGGAAUUUCACCCGCAGUUGAACCUUGUUACCCUCUACUUGAACCAUCCAUCAACGACUAGUUUAAAACGCAUCUCUGUCAUAUGGAUGACAUAUCAGUCAUGUAGGAUGCCAUCUAAUCUGACUUUACUUUUUGACAACUGGUAUAACUA
Molecule: long non-coding RNA, 1551 nt
Organism: Oncorhynchus mykiss (rainbow trout)
Lineage: Eukaryota; Metazoa; Chordata; Actinopteri; Salmoniformes; Salmonidae
Source: Ensembl